Molecule: ribosomal RNA, 351 nt
Filed under: Triticum aestivum (bread wheat)
Lineage: Eukaryota; Viridiplantae; Streptophyta; Magnoliopsida; Poales; Poaceae
Description: partial small subunit ribosomal RNA
Source: RNAcentral
AUGAGCUCGAAGCGCAUAAGGAGCCUGACGGACUUGUACCUGUUGCCCUUGCGGUCAUGGAGGGGCACGGCGCGGAUCCCCUGCUUCAGCUCCAUCACCGGCAGGCACGUCUGCCCCCCGAAGUCGUGCUUCUCCGACAUGUCGUACUCCUGGACCUCCACCCUCAGCAGGGCCAGCUCAGGGACCGUCAGCGGGAACGUGAACUCCUCGUCCCACACCGGCACCCACUGGUCCUCGAUCGUCCGGGUCUUCUUCAUCACGCAGUCCGCCCGCACCCCCGCGAUCCCCACCUGUUUUAUUCAACAUUGCCAACCAUAUACAUUCUCAACAAAAAGUUGCCACUCCAGUUGA